AUGCAUGGAUUGGAAGAUUCUAUCAGGACUGAGACUGCUAGUGAUGAAUCUGAAGGUGUUGAUGUUGCUGAAAAUAGUACAUCUGAAGGUGAUUAUACUGUUGAAAAGAGUGCAUCUAAUGGUGAUGAUGUUGACAAUAACAAUGUUGCAUCGAAUGAUGAUGAUGGCGAAGGAGAAGAUUAUGAAAUUGCCGACGAUGUUGAUGCUGAUGCAUGA
This is a non-coding RNA of Vicia faba (fava bean), 216 nucleotides long. NCBI's taxonomy places the organism in Eukaryota, Viridiplantae, Streptophyta, Magnoliopsida, Fabales, Fabaceae. The record is from the annotation of a GenBank genome assembly.